GGUAGCGUGGCCGAGCGGUCUAAGGCGCUGGUUUAAGGCACCCGUCUUUUCGGGGGCGUGGGUUCGAAUUCCACCGCUGCCA
This 82-nucleotide transfer RNA is filed under the name Ixodes scapularis (black-legged tick). Its description in RNAcentral is "tRNA-Leu". It matches the Rfam family "tRNA". From Rfam's summary of the family: Transfer RNA (tRNA) molecules are approximately 80 nucleotides in length. Lineage: Eukaryota; Metazoa; Arthropoda; Arachnida; Ixodida; Ixodidae. The record is from RNAcentral.